AAAAGUACAGCGUANGGGCUCGCCGCGUUCGAGUCGCCCCUUUGUUUAAGAGCACCUCGCGGUUCCGCGGGAGGCCCGCCCGCUUCGGGGACCCACCACAAACACAUUGCAGUACACAGAAGUACACGUCUGAACUAAACAAAACAUACUAUAUUACAACAUUUCAACGACGGUAUCUCUCUGGUUCUGAGCAUCGAUAGAAGAACGCA
RNAcentral lists this ribosomal RNA (209 nucleotides) under uncultured Ascomycota. Its description in RNAcentral is "partial 18S ribosomal RNA". Lineage: Eukaryota; Fungi; Ascomycota. The record is from RNAcentral.